GGGGAAUUUUGGACAAUGGGGGCAACCCUGAUCCAGCCAUUCCGCGUGAGUGAAGAAGGCCUUCGGGUUGUAAAGCUCUUUCAGCUGGAACGAAACGGUGCGCUCUAACAUAGCGUGCUAAUGACGGUACCAGCAGAAGAAGCACCGGCUAACUACGUGCCAGCAGCCGCGGUAAUACGUAGGGUGCGAGCGUUAAUCGGAAUUACUGGGCGUAAAGCGUGCGCAGGCGGAUUGUUAAGCAAGAUGUGAAAUCCCCGGGCUUAACCUGGGAAUGGCAUUUUGAACUGGCAGUCUAGAGUGCGUCAGAGGGGGGUGGAAUUCCACGUGUAGCAGUGAAAUGCGUAGAGAUGUGGAGGAACACCAAUGGCGAAGGCAGCCCCCUGGGAUGACACUGACGCUCAUGUACGAAAGCGUGGGUAGCAAAC
This 425-nucleotide ribosomal RNA is filed under the name uncultured bacterium. Its description in RNAcentral is "bacterial SSU rRNA". It matches the Rfam family "Bacterial small subunit ribosomal RNA", at positions 356 to 773 of the family's 1533-position model. The record is from RNAcentral.